AUCUGGCUCAGAACGAACGCUGGCGGCGUGCUUAACACAUGCAAGUCGAAACGCGAAAGGGACUUCGGUCCUGAGUAAAGUGGCGCACGGGUGAGUAACGCGUAGAUAACCUGUCUUCAUGUCUGGAAUAAUACGCCGAAAGGGGUACUAAUACCGGAUAUUCUUGCUUUUCAUAAGUUAUGCAAGCAAAGGUGGCCUCUGCAUAUGCUACUGCAUGAAGAGGGGUCUGCGUACCAUUAGCUAGUAGGUGGGGUAAUGGCCUACCUAGGCGACGAUGGUUAGCGGGUCUGAGAGGAUGAUCCGCCACACUGGCACUGGAACACGGGCCAGACUCCUACGGGAGGCAGCAGUGAGGAAUAUUGCGCAAUGGGGGAAACCCUGACGCAGCGACGCCGCGUUGAGUGAGGAAGGCCUUCGGGUCGUAAAGCUCUGUCAAGAGGAAAGAAGUGUACAAUGGCUAAUACCUGUUGUAUUUGACGGUACCUCUAAAGGAAGCACCGGCUAACUCCGUGCCAGCCGCGGC
RNAcentral lists this ribosomal RNA (523 nucleotides) under uncultured bacterium. RNAcentral's name for it is "bacterial SSU rRNA". It matches the Rfam family "Bacterial small subunit ribosomal RNA", at positions 17 to 518 of the family's 1533-position model. The record is from RNAcentral.